UACGUAUGGAGCAAGCGUUAUCCGGAUUUACUGGGUGUAAAGGGAGCGUAGGCGGUCCUGCAAGUCUGAUGUGAAAGGCCGGGGCUCAACCCCGGGACUGCAUUGGAAACUGUAGGACUAGAGUGUCGGAGGGGUAAGUGGAAUUCCUAGUGUAGCGGUGAAAUGCGUAGAUAUUAGGAGGAACACCAGUGGCGAAGGCGGCUUACUGGACGACUACUGACGCUGAGGCUCGAAAGCGUGGGGAGCAAACA
This 251-nucleotide ribosomal RNA is filed under the name uncultured bacterium. RNAcentral describes it as "partial 16S ribosomal RNA". It matches the Rfam family "Bacterial small subunit ribosomal RNA", at positions 524 to 774 of the family's 1533-position model. The record is from RNAcentral.